RNAcentral lists this ribosomal RNA (253 nucleotides) under uncultured bacterium. Its description in RNAcentral is "partial 16S ribosomal RNA". It matches the Rfam family "Bacterial small subunit ribosomal RNA", at positions 524 to 776 of the family's 1533-position model. The record is from RNAcentral.
UACGUAGGGUGCAAGCGUUGUCCGGAAUUAUUGGGCGUAAAGAGCUCGUAGGCGGCUUGUUACGUCGUCCGUGAAAACUUGGGGCUCAACCCCAAGCUUGCGGUCGAUACGGGCAGGCUAGAGUUCGGUAGGGGAGACUGGAAUUCCUGGUGUAGCGGUGAAAUGCGCAGAUAUCAGGAGGAACACCGGUGGCGAAGGCGGGUCUCUGGGCCGAUACUGACGCUGAGGAGCGAAAGCGUGGGGAGCGAACAGG